This 484-nucleotide ribosomal RNA is filed under the name uncultured bacterium. RNAcentral's name for it is "partial 16S ribosomal RNA". It matches the Rfam family "Bacterial small subunit ribosomal RNA", at positions 30 to 507 of the family's 1533-position model. The record is from RNAcentral.
AUUGAACGCUGGCGGCAGGCCUAACACAUGCAAGUCGGGCGGAUGAAGGGAGCUUGCUCCUGGAUUCAGCGGCGGACGGGUGAGUAAUGCCUAGGAAUCUGCCUGGUAGUGGGGGAUAACGUCCGGAAACGGGCGCUAAUACCGCAUACGUCCUGAGGGAGAAAGUGGGGGAUCUUCGGACCUCACGCUAUCAGAUGAGCCUAGGUCGGAUUAGCUAGUUGGUGGGGUAAAGGCCUACCAAGGCGACGAUCCGUAACUGGUCUGAGAGGAUGAUCAGUCACACUGGAACUGAGACACGGUCCAGACUCCUACGGGAGGCAGCAGUGGGGAAUAUUGGACAAUGGGCGAAAGCCUGAUCCAGCCAUGCCGCGUGUGUGAAGAAGGUCUUCGGAUUGUAAAGCACUUUAAGUUGGGAAGAAGGGCAGUAAGUUAAUACCUUGCUGUUUUGACGUUACCAACAGAAUAAGCACCGGCUAACUUCGUG